UAAAACCUGUGGAACACUAAACCACAUCUUCUGAAUGCA
This 39-nucleotide transfer RNA is filed under the name Crotaphytus nebrius. RNAcentral describes it as "partial tRNA-Ala". The record is from RNAcentral. Lineage: Eukaryota; Metazoa; Chordata; Lepidosauria; Squamata; Crotaphytidae.